UACGAGGGGGGCGAGCGUUGUUCGGAAUUAUUGGGCGUAAAGGGUGCGUAGGCGGUUUGGUAAGUCUUAUGUGAAAUCUACAGGCUCAACUUGUAGUCUGCAUGAGAAACUGCCGGGCUUGAGUAUGGGAGAGGUGAGUGGAAUUCCUGGUGUAGCGGUGAAAUGCGUAGAUAUCAUGAGGAAUACCAGAGGCGAAGGCGGCUACCUGGACAAUUGCUGACGCUCAGGCACGAAAGCGUGGGGAGCAAAAGGG
RNAcentral lists this ribosomal RNA (253 nucleotides) under uncultured bacterium. Its description in RNAcentral is "partial 16S ribosomal RNA". It matches the Rfam family "Bacterial small subunit ribosomal RNA", at positions 524 to 776 of the family's 1533-position model. The record is from RNAcentral.